CCCUCCCCACAAAAAAAAUUGGUGUUAAAAAUUCCCCAUUUUGUGGGGUGGGGUCUUGGAAAAAUCCUCCUAAAAAAAUCUGUGAUGAAAGAGCCCUGACCCCUCCCCCAAAAAAAUAUUUGGGAGGGGGGUCUUCCCUCGCCCACCCACCCAGAAAAAGGCUGAGGGGAGACCCCUCCCCACAAAAAAAUUUGGGUAAAAAUCGCCCAUUUCUUCCCCAAAAAAUUAAUUUGUGGGGUGGGGUCUGGGAAAAAUUCUUCUAAAAA
Poecile atricapillus (Black-capped chickadee) is the source of this 266-nucleotide long non-coding RNA. RefSeq lists it as uncharacterized. The record is from RefSeq and is a predicted model, not a curated record. NCBI's taxonomy places the organism in Eukaryota, Metazoa, Chordata, Aves, Passeriformes, Paridae. The transcript is spliced from 2 exons.